This 329-nucleotide unclassified non-coding RNA is filed under the name soil metagenome. RNAcentral describes it as "partial contains 5.8S ribosomal RNA, internal transcribed spacer 2, and large subunit ribosomal RNA". The stretch from base 1 to 120 matches the Rfam family "5.8S ribosomal RNA", at positions 35 to 154 of the family's 154-position model. The record is from RNAcentral.
GAUGAAGAACGUAGCGAAAUGUGAUAAGUAAUGUGAAUUGCAGAAUUCAGUGAAUCAUCGAAUCUUUGAACGCACAUUGCGCCCCUUGGUAUUCCGAGGGGCAUGCCUGUUCGAGCGUCAUUAUAACCCCUCAAGCUCAGCUUGGUGUUGGGGCCUGCUGCACUGGCAGCCCUUAAAAUCAGUGGCGGCGCCAUCUGGCUCUAAGCGUAGUAAUUCUUCUCGCUAUGGAGUCCUGGUGGAUGCUUGCCAUCAACCCCCAAUUUUUCUAUGGUUGACCUCGGAUCAGGGAGGGAUACCCGCUGAACUUAAGCAUAUCAAUAAGCGGAGGA